Molecule: ribosomal RNA, 1134 nt
Filed under: 'Liquidambar styraciflua' phytoplasma
Lineage: Bacteria; Bacillati; Mycoplasmatota; Mollicutes; Acholeplasmatales; Acholeplasmataceae
Description: bacterial SSU rRNA
Rfam family: Bacterial small subunit ribosomal RNA
Source: RNAcentral
CAAUAGGUAUGCUUAGGGAGGAGCUUGCGUCACAUUAGUUAGUUGGUGGGGUAAAGGCCUACCAAGACUAUGAUGUGUAGCCGGGCUGAGAGGUUGAACGGCCACAUUGGGACUGAGACACGGCCCAAACUCCUACGGGAGGCAGCAGUAGGGAAUUUUCGGCAAUGGAGGAAACUCUGACCGAGCAACGCCGCGUGAACGAUGAAGUAUUUCGGUACGUAAAGUUCUUUUAUUAGGGAAGAAUAAAUGAUGGAAAAAUCAUUCUGACGGUACCUAAUGAAUAAGCCCCGGCUAACUAUGUGCCAGCAGCCGCGGUAAUACAUAGGGGGCAAGCGUUAUCCGGAAUUAUUGGGCGUAAAGGGUGCGUAGGCGGUUAAAUAAGUUUAUGGUCUAAGUGCAAUGCUCAACAUUGUGAUGCUAUAAAAACUGUUUAGCUAGAGUAAGAUAGAGGCAAGUGGAAUUCCAUGUGUAGUGGUAAAAUGCGUAAAUAUAUGGAGGAACACCAGUAGCGAAGGCGGCUUGCUGGGUCUUUACUGACGCUGAGGCACGAAAGCGUGGGGAGCAAACAGGAUUAGAUACCCUGGUAGUCCACGCCGUAAACGAUGAGUACUAAACGUUGGGUAAAACCAGUGUUGAAGUUAACACAUUAAGUACUCCGCCUGAGUAGUACGUACGCAAGUAUGAAACUUAAAGGAAUUGACGGGACUCCGCACAAGCGGUGGAUCAUGUUGUUUAAUUCGAAGGUACCCGAAAAACCUUACCAGGUCUUGACAUGCUUCUGCAAAGCUGUAGAAACACAGUGGAGGUUAUCAGUUGCACAGGUGGUGCAUGGUUGUCGUCAGCUCGUGUCGUGAGAUGUUGGGUUAAGUCCCGCAACGAGCGCAACCCUUAUUGUUAGUUACCAGCACGUAAUGGUGGGGACUUUAGCAAGACUGCCAGUGAUAAAUUGGAGGAAGGUGGGGACGACGUCAAAUCAUCAUGCCCCUUAUGACCUGGGCUACAAACGUGAUACAAUGGCUGUUACAAAGGGUAGCUGAAGCGCAAGUUUUUGGCGAAUCUCAAAAAAACAGUCUCAGUUCGGAUUGAAGUCUGCAACUCGACUUCAUGAAGUGGAAUCGCUAGUAAUCGCGAAUC